UACAGAGGGGGCAAGCGUUGUUCGGAAUUACUGGGCGUAAAGGGCGCGUAGGCGGCCCGCUAAGUCGAACGUGAAAUCCCCGAGAUCAACUCGGGAACUGCGUCCGAUACUGGCGGGCUUGAAUCCGGGAGAGGGAUGCGGAAUUCCAGGUGUAGCGGUGAAAUGCGUAGAUAUCUGGAGGAACACCGGUGGCGAAGGCGGCAUCCUGGACCGGCAUUGACGCUGAGGCGCGAAAGCUAGGGGAGCAAACGGG
Molecule: ribosomal RNA, 253 nt
Filed under: uncultured bacterium
Lineage: Bacteria
Description: partial 16S ribosomal RNA
Rfam family: Bacterial small subunit ribosomal RNA
Source: RNAcentral